CACGACUCGGAACAUACGGGUUUGUGUUCUACUCGCUUGGAUGCCGCGAGCAAACAACUCUGAGACGGUGAAAGUCCAUAUUCUAUAAGUGAACGUUUAUAAGGUCAUGGGCACUGUACAUACUUCCAGGAGUCUGAUACAGCAGUCACCCUAGGAGACUAGUCGAGCAUGCUCAGAACUGGCACAAAAUUUCUGGCCGUUGUGAUUUCUGUUCUUGCAAUGACAAACGUUGAAGGUCAUGAAAGACUCGAAUAUAGGCUCAAGGGAUCACAAGAACAGUUGGAAUCGUGGGCCAUGAAUAUGUUCGGUUUGUUUUGACGAUGUCUGUAAUGUCUGAUAGACUACAAUACAUUACAGUACAACAGCACUAUUCUAUGUCAUUUGAUGUCAACUGAUUGUUUAUGGUGUAUAGAAAGUAGUGAUCUGCUCAAUGUUAUUACAUUGGCUAGGUUAUAUAUGACUGUUAUUGUAACUCGUUAUUAUGGAAUUAAUAAUGAGAUAUGAUAGUACAAUGUUUUAACAAUGUCUUGUAUGAUUGCCCAGCUGCAGAUCUAUUGUAGAGCUUAAUAUUCUUGGACAUCUAGUCUAGGAUUUUGAGACACACUAAUUGAUUUCUGAAAUGGUCAUUGCAAAUGUUGAUUGAAAACCAUUUAAUUAAACAUUCUUGGACUGUUCUUUCUAUAGUGAUCAUUUGUGAUUUUAUAAAAUUAAAUUUAGUUUUCUUUUCAACUUUUCUUUUUAUGUGACAGCAAAAGAUGAAUGAUUUCAUCUAUAAUCCAUAAGCAACAGGACAUUGUAAGAGUCACGUGACUUAGCAAGUAACACACUUGCUGGAAUGGCUAUCGGUUUGCGACUAUGUGUGUGGAUCCAAUGUGUUGUCGACUAUUUCUCUCAUACUUAGGAAUGUGCCAUGCUCUUAAUGCAGUUUAUCACCGAGCAGUAUUUGCGAUUUGUUGUAUAUAGCAGCACUGAUAAUGGACGGACCAGUGGUUUUUUCCUGGAACGGUCUAAUUCAUGUUUGCAAUUGCCAGGUCUUGUCGGAAAUAUAUAACAAAACUUUAAUACCUGUUUGAUCAAUCGCUUUCACGGCUUACGAUAGUUAAAUGAGAACCUGACAUCGCAUAACCAGAGACGACAUUAAAUAUCGUUUGUCAUUGUUGUUUUUGAACUGUUGUAGGUGUGAAAGUAAAUUCUGUAAACAUAGCUUCAAUUACUAGUGUUAAUCAGACUAGAGUCAGGCUAUCAAAAAGUGCAAUGGGCCAAGCUGACCUGUUAAUUGCUAUCUCACUGUAGCUAAUUUCCGAAUAAGCAGAGAUACUGUUCUUGUUGUCCCAAUGCAGUUGACGACUAGUGCUUGUAUGAAAGAGCUAUUGCUUGCAAUGCUUCUUACUAAGCAAUUAAACAGUAGCUUCUGCAUUUGAUUGUUUUCCUUGCAUUUUUGUUUACAGCACUGUGUCAUUGUCUAGAUGGAUGUAUUGGUUGUGGCAGUCAUUCACUAGUUUGUGCGCUUGCUUGUUUGGGUAUCUGCGUCAUUACUUUCUUGCUCGCUUGUCUUUCAUUGUAGUAAGAAACCAAAAUGACUACAUUACAUUGUACAUUUGUCUCAAUGUUGUUUCAAUUUAAGUCUACAUUUUAACAUUGUAUGUUUAUUAUUGAAGACAUUUGGCUGGUGAGAUAAGUCGGGAGGAUGCCGAUCGAACUACUGCAUCUGCAACAGCUGCGGUUGACGACUUAGUGUUGUUAGCUCUGCAGAUUGUACCGUACAAUAUGAAUCGUAACGCUGAAGCAUGUGAUCUGCUGAUGGAAAUAGAGAGACUAGACUUGCUGGACAAAUAUAUGGAUGAAGCUUCGUAUCCAAAAGUGUGCUUGUGCUUGACAAGGUGUGAUGCUAGUUAUUGUGUUGUGGUGUGGUGCUAGCCAAUUGGUGAAAGUGUUUUUGCAUUGUUAUGCAUGUAGUUGCUUUUCUCUUUGUGUAAACUGGUUGCUUAUUUGGCGGUCUGCUCGUUUACAUGACCGUUUAUUGUACGUGUGUGUGUGUGUGUGUGUGUGUGUGUGUGUGUGUGUGUGUUUGUCUGUUUGCUUGUCUGUCUGCCGUGUGCAUGUGUGUUU
Long non-coding RNA from Corticium candelabrum, 2109 nucleotides. RefSeq lists it as uncharacterized. NCBI's taxonomy places the organism in Eukaryota, Metazoa, Porifera, Homoscleromorpha, Homosclerophorida, Plakinidae. The transcript is spliced from 3 exons. The record is from RefSeq and is a predicted model, not a curated record.